Phragmites australis (common reed) is the source of this 344-nucleotide long non-coding RNA. RefSeq lists it as uncharacterized. The transcript is spliced from 3 exons. The record is from RefSeq and is a predicted model, not a curated record. Lineage: Eukaryota; Viridiplantae; Streptophyta; Magnoliopsida; Poales; Poaceae.
AGUCGCUGGCCCUGAGGGCUUCAGAUCCACAGUUCUCAGCACAGUCAUCCAUUAGGAUCUGGUGGCAUCAGCACUCGGAGCUGCAGAAGGCUUUCUCUCCCCUACAAUUCGAGGUCAAGAACAAACAGAUGCGAACCCAUCAAGCCUCUUGUCACAGAGGCAGCACCUGCACAAGAGCGAAGCCGGCAGUCAAAUCAGAGAUUGAAAUGAAGUGAUUCCGCCACUGCUCAAGAAGUCAGCCGCCGGCGCCGGCGCCGGCGCCUCAUCGGCUUCCACAAGCCAGCCGCCGCCGCCGUCACCGAAGUACACGCGCUUCCAGAUGCUGCGGCCGGCGCCGUCGUUGC